UACGGAGGGUGCAAGCGUUAUCCGGAUUCACUGGGUUUAAAGGGAGCGUAGGCGGGCAGGUAAGUCAGUGGUGAAAUCUCCGGGCUUAACCCGGAAACUGCCAUUGAUACUAUCUGUCUUGAAUAUCCUGGAGGUAAGCGGAAUAUGUCAUGUAGCGGUGAAAUGCUUAGAUAUGACAUAGAACACCGAUUGCGGAGGCAGCUUGCUACACAAAUAUUGACGCUGAGGCACGAAAGCGUGGGGAUCAAACAGG
RNAcentral lists this ribosomal RNA (253 nucleotides) under uncultured bacterium. RNAcentral describes it as "partial 16S ribosomal RNA". It matches the Rfam family "Bacterial small subunit ribosomal RNA", at positions 524 to 776 of the family's 1533-position model. The record is from RNAcentral.